GACGAACGCUGGCGGCGUGCUUAACACAUGCAAGUCGAACGGAAAGGCCCUGCUUUUGUGGGGUGCUCGAGUGGUGAACGGGUGAGUAACACGUGAGUAACCUGCCCUUGACUUUGGGAUAACUUCAGGAAACUGGGGCUAAUACCGGAUAGGAGCUCCUGCUGCAUGGUGGGGGUUGGAAAGUUUCGGCGGUUGGGGAUGGACUCGCGGCUUAUCAGCUUGUUGGUGGGGUAGUGGCUUACCAAGGCUUUGACGGGUAGCCGGCCUGAGAGGGUGACCGGCCACAUUGGGACUGAGAUACGGCCCAGACUCCUACGGGAGGCAACAGUGGGGAAUAUUGCACAAUGGGCGGAAGCCGGAUGCAGCAACGCCGCGUGCGGGAUGACGGCCUUCGGGUUGUAAACCGCUUUCGCCUGUGACGAAGCGUGAGUGACGGUAAUGGGUAAAGAAGCACCGGCUAACUACGU
Molecule: ribosomal RNA, 467 nt
Filed under: uncultured bacterium
Lineage: Bacteria
Description: partial 16S ribosomal RNA
Rfam family: Bacterial small subunit ribosomal RNA
Source: RNAcentral